RNAcentral lists this long non-coding RNA (1273 nucleotides) under Homo sapiens (human). RNAcentral's name for it is "HSALNT0055059". Lineage: Eukaryota; Metazoa; Chordata; Mammalia; Primates; Hominidae. The record is from RNAcentral.
AAGAAAAAGUAGCAGUUAUUCAUCUCAAUACUUAUAUAGACAGUUUGGCCGUGUCCUAGGUUUUUGCUGGGCCCUGGGGACACAUAACUGAACCAAACUUCAAUUCCUGCCUUCUGAGAUCAUAACGGUAUUGUGGGUUAGAAAUGAGGGUAGGGAGUGACAAACAUGAAAUUGAUGUAAUCAGGGCUAAGAUAGAGGCAGGCACUAGCUGCCCAAGGGGUCAGGGAUGGUCUGGGAGAAGUAACUGAACUGAAUGAAGGAAGAUAGGAAAACCACAAUAAAUAUGGUAUUCGCUGAAUGGUUUCAUGAAUUUCCACAAACACGGAUAGCAAGGAAAAGAAGGAGCCUACUUGAAACAGUGCACCAAUGUGCCGGCACAUAAUAGUGGAUAAAUAAGUAUUUGAUGCAUGAAUGAAAAUUACAUACUGUUACUCAUUAUUAGAGGAUAAAGUAGGCGGGACACAAAGUGAGUCUGGAAAGAAUAGGCAUUAUAUAAUAAAGACGUUAUAUUCGUUUUUCAAGCUCUUCAUCAAUUCAACAAAUAUGUGUCAAGCUACCACUGUGUUCCAGGUAUGCUAUUCAAAAUGAGGAUAUGUUGGAAAGCUUUCUUAUGAGAGGAUGAAAAGUUUUCACUUCUGAUAACUUUUAGGCUGUUAAGGAAUAAAAUAAGAUAGGACCCUCCACAGAUCCCUAAUGAGUUUUUUUUGCACGAAUAGCAAGUCAUUUAUGCAUUCUUUCAUACAUUCAUUCUAUAAACAUUUAAUUGAUACUGUGAAAUAGAUAUUUUGAAAGGUCCUGGAAAUACAAUAAUGAAGAAACAAAAAGACUCCCUCAAGUUGCUCGAUUUAGGUGAUGACACAGAAAGAUCCUUGCUGUAAUGGAGUAUGUCAAGAGUAGUGGAAACAUGGCAGAGUAGUUUAAACUGAAACUUGAAAGGAUUAGAACAGCUAGUCUGAUGCUAUUGGGAUAAAGAAAUUUUAAGCUAAGAAGCAAUCCCAACAAAAGUCCAGAGACUUGAGAGAACAGGACUUUAAGGGAAUUGCAAGUAGGUUCGUAUCACCAGAGCAUAAGAGAUAAGGGAAAACGAGGAGAAAGAGUGACAGAAGUGAGGUUUCAGUUGCUGAAGGACUUCUAGGCAAUGCACCAGACUUCAGAACAUUUCCAUCUUCCUCCUAGAAGAUCAAAGAGAAGUAAUGAAAGUCAAGGUGCUGGAAUCAGACAUGGCAUACUUUUACCAGCACCAUAAAUGAUCCAAACUCUCUAGGGGAAGUUC